AUUGAACGCUGGCGGCAUGCUUUACACAUGCAAGUCGAACGGCAGCGCGGGCUUCGGCCUGGCGGCGAGUGGCGAACGGGUGAGUAAUGCAUCGGAACGUGCCCAGUAGUGGGGGAUAGCCCGGCGAAAGCCGGAUUAAUACCGCAUACGACCUGAGGGUGAAAGCGGGGGACCGAAAGGCCUCGCGCUAUUGGAGCGGCCGAUGUCGGAUUAGCUAGUUGGUGGGGGAAAGGCUUACCAAGGCGACGAUCCGUAGCUGGUCUGAGAGGACGACCAGCCAAACUGGGACUGAGACACGGCCCAGACUCCUACGGGAGGCAGCAGUGGGGAAUUUUGGACAAUGGGGGCAACCCUGAUCCAGCCAUGCCGCGUGCGGGAAGAAGGCCUUCGGGUUGUAAACCGCUUUUGUUCGGGAAGAAAUCCUCUGGGCUAAUACCCCGGGGGGAUGACGGUACCGGAAGAAUAAGCACCGGCUAACUACGUG
RNAcentral lists this ribosomal RNA (484 nucleotides) under uncultured bacterium. Its description in RNAcentral is "partial 16S ribosomal RNA". It matches the Rfam family "Bacterial small subunit ribosomal RNA", at positions 29 to 507 of the family's 1533-position model. The record is from RNAcentral.